This 30-nucleotide non-coding RNA is filed under the name Rattus norvegicus (Norway rat). The record is from RNAcentral. Lineage: Eukaryota; Metazoa; Chordata; Mammalia; Rodentia; Muridae.
UCUUGAUAUGCAAAUGGUUGUCACUGUGGC